Molecule: long non-coding RNA, 241 nt
Filed under: Brachypodium distachyon (stiff brome)
Lineage: Eukaryota; Viridiplantae; Streptophyta; Magnoliopsida; Poales; Poaceae
Description: long non-coding RNA (BDIS_LNC003595)
Source: RNAcentral
GAGUCGACGGCGCGGUCAAGGAGUCGACAUGACGGUCAUGGAGUUGACGGCGCCAUCAUGGAGUCGAAGAUCUUCAGGUCGGUCUCUUACCCCUCUCGUUUCUCUCUUUCUGCAGCCCCGGUCUCCCCCUCACUCUCUCUUUUUCUAAACUCUGCAGUGGAUUUUUAGUUCGUACUGUAUGCAAUUGGGACAAAAAAAAUCAUGGCUAGCAUAAUUAUAUGCUAGCCGUGAGCUUUUUUUU